GAGGCUCGUGUCAGUGGAAGCUGGGGUGUCGGCGGGCGGCCGCGGCCGGGUCUAGCGGUGCCUGCGGAAGAAGGAGGAGGAGGGCUGGCGAUGAGAAGCAGCAGGGGGAAUCAAGGGCAAGAAGGGACCCAGAGGGGCAGGUGGCUGAGAUGCUGGCGUCCAGGUGACCCGAGGAAUCCUCUGGAGAUACAGGCCCGCGCAUGCGCGUGCUCGAGCGCUGAAGCCCAUUGCCCGCAGGGCGCUGGACUGGCGCCCCGGCCGGCGAGGCUGUCUAGUCCAGGCUCCAGGCCCCGGCUCUGGCCAGGCGCCGCCGCCUCCCGGUGCAGCUGAAAGUCGACGAAGAGGGCGGGGCGGGGGCGGCUUGUGGACUUCCACACUUUUCCUCUCUUCGGGCCAGUCUGGGGAGAGGGUGGCUAGCUGUGGCGGCGGCCAAUUACGUGGCGGACCUGCGGGGCUAAGCUGGCACGUCACUUCCGACUAGUGGAGUUUUUAGCCUUUUAACAUUCAAGGAUUAGGUAAAAGUCUUGCAGUGAAAAACCCGAGGACCCUUACCGCAAGUGUCUUUUGCUCCCAGCUACUGAUACUGGAUUCCACUCGUGAUUCUCCCUUUCUUAGCGCAUUCAUGAUAUAGACAUCAGUCUCUGAGCUGGAGGAGGACAAAGGCAGCGGUCCUGUGAAUUCUAUGCUCUAGCUUGGGUUAAGGGAUUUGGAAUUGCACUUGUUUCAGAGAGCUCCCUCUUUGCCCACUAGCAGGGCAUUAGCUGGUGCUGAAGACAGUGGCUGCUUGGCGAGCCUGGAUCUCCAAGUGACCCCCUCAGCAACUCCUGAUGAACAGGACUGAAGCCAAUAUUAAAGCAAGUCAACCAAAGGUUCUCUGGUGUAGACAAGACAGCAAAAGGACAGACUACCUUGUGGAACCUAGCAUUGUUCUCCUUCUGCAGCACUAAGUAACAUUUGUUCUCCGUUAAGAUCUUUGCAAACCACACACAAGAAUUGCUGGUCAUCCUGCCAAUAGAUGCUGCUCACAGAACCAAAUUUCCUGUGCUGAAUUGUCACUCAUGGGCUUGAGAGUAGGAGACUGGAGACCAAGGUGGCUAGAAUCCAGUUGGGCCUGAUGUCUCCCUGUUGAAAGGGCUCCUUGUGGAAUGAAUAGCACAUGGCUCCUGUGGUGGAUCUGAUAGUGGCAUAGCACCAAGUGAUGCAGGCCUGCCAGGGGCCACAGACACAGAAGAUGCUCCCGGGGUCCCCCAUGUACUCCAGACACACUGCAGGCCACCUCUCCCAGCAGGUUGCCAGUCAUGGGCCCCAUCAUCAUGACUUCUGUCCAAGGUGUGCUCGGAAAUCUCUUCCUUAACUGUGACUUUCUGACAGGUGGAGGAUGUGGUCAGGAGUGGGAAAAGGAUUCGAGACGGGAAGAGGGAGGGGUUCAGGAUGAAGAGAGAUAAUCUGUGCCACAGAUGCUGGCCCUGCAGUUAGCUCCCACCUAGUCCGUGCACACACAUUCUAAUCCCCUCCCAUUCCUUUACAUGCUGCGGCCAGAGAGGCCUUUCUCAAAGUGGAAGUCUCAUCCUCACUUCUCUGGUUACAGUGCUGGGCCAUGGUAACUUACAAGGCUUAGCAGGAACUGUCUGCGCACUCCCCCUUCCUGCCCACUACCUUGUUUCCCUCCAGUUGCGAGAGAAAACAUUGAUUGAGCAUUAACUAUGUGCCAGGCUUGUCCUAAGUCCUUUGCAUGUAUUCACUCAAACAAUCCUCACAACAUUCCUAUCACAUCUCCCAUUUCACAGUGAGGGUUCUAAAGCACGUAGUGGGUGAGGAACUUGUCCAGGGUCACACAACUAAGUGGGGGUGGAGAAACAUCAAAUCUAGGUGGUCCAGGUGGUGGCCAGAACCCAUCAGCACCUCACUACAGCUGCCUCCAGUUUCUCGCUCUAGGAAAUACUCUUCCCUGUCAACUCCUGUUGUCCUCUGGGCUCAGUUGACAUGUCAUCUCCUUGAGGAGGACAUCCUGAGAUGCUCCCCGACUAGGGUGGGCACCCACUUCCACACUCCAAAUGCCUAUUUGACCUGUGUAUCGCUGCAUCCCCACUGCCUGGCAGAUAGCAGGCCCCUAAUAAAUAUGAUUUGAGCAAAUAAAUAUAGUUCUUCAAAAAAUAGGGAGGACUUCUUGCUUCAGGUAAUGGUAGGCUAGGACAUUUGGACCAACCCUCCUGCAGAAAAUAGCCAUUUAUUUUGAUGCAAUAUAUCUGGCUAUGACUAGAGAUUUCAAAUAUUUGGAGGGCUAUUAUGUGAAGAACUAAACUUACUCUUUGUGACAUAGAGGUCAGAAAUUGGUCGUUUCCAUAGAGUAUGAGAGAGACAGAAUUGUGCUCAUCAUAAGUAUCUUUUUUAAAAGUUAGACUUAAUAAAAUGGGCUGCCUUGGUAGGUGGUGAGUUCUCUGUCACGAAAGAGAUUCAGCCACUUGCUCUGAGAAAGCAUGGAGAAUAUCAACAUUGUAAGGGUCGACCACCUCAUCUCUGAGGCCCCCUCCUCACUUAGGUUGCCAUUGCAGGUGGAACACUGGGCUGAGUGUCAAAGAACCUGGGUUCCACAAGCUGUGCGACCAUGGCUGGUUGUUUUGGAUCUCAUUCCUAAUAUCUGUUAGUUAAGCUGACCCGUCAAUACUGACCCACUUCACAGAGUUAUGAAGGGAUUAAAUUAGGUAUUACAUGUAAAUCUGUUUUGUUUGCUUUUUGUUGUUCUUUUUUGUUUUGCUUUUUUCUUUGCAUUAUGAAAUCCCAAGUCAACUUUUUCCAUUCUUUUAUUUUUUUAAAAAUUGACAUCAUCAUUAUAACCACAAAAUAAUUUUUAAAAUGGAAAAAAAAAACUCACCUGCAACCCCACAAUCUAAUACAAUAAUCAUACUUUUUUCCCUUUAUUCUCCUUUAUUGUGACCAAGGAUGACUUUGGGCAUUGCUGUGAGGAACUAUUUCGUUUAACACCCUACUACCUGAACAUGAUGCGUACUCAGCCUUUCACCACCCCCCAAGUAGCUACACAUGAUGUGAUAAUAGUAUUGGUGGUGGUUUUAGAGAGUUGGAGAGAAAACUGAAGUUGGAUUUGGGUAAAAGAAAAAAGAGUGGGAAUUAUUUUUUCUCCAUUCUAAAGCCCAUAAAGCAAUGUUAAUUGUUCCCACCCCUCUGCUAUUCUGUCUCCUCAGGUACUGUGUGCAGAAAUGUGAUUGAGAUUCAAGUCAGGGCCUCUCUGCCCUUUUCCCUCCAGAAACAAAACCAAGAUAAUUUAUCCUGAACACGGUGAAAAAAGGAAGGGAGGGAGGAGAAAAAGUCCGGGUCUCACCUGGGAUUCUCUGUCUCCUGCAACAUGAAGGAUUUAGCCUGGGAGGAGGUGGUGAGAACUCUGGGAGAGAAAAAAGAAGGAAAGAAUAGUUUUACCCAUGCUGAAGUUAAUUUAAACCUUCACCUAGAGAAGCAAAAAAAAAAAACCCACACUUUCCCAUUUUGUGCCUCCCUUCCUAGAGUUUUAGCCAAAGGUUUAGCUAAGUAAUUGGUUUUACCAGCGCACUCACUCCUCCUAUCCCAAGUCUGUUUGACUCCCUCCCCAUCAUCCUCCUCACCUCUUUUCAGGCAGGGUGGGGAUAGCAGCAGGAGGAGAUUUUGGGAGCCUGGCAACUCCUGCAAGGACCGCAGGACAGCCCCUCUGUGGGGAUGCGUGGUGCCCCAUCUGCCGCCCUUCUGAAGAAUGCACUGCCUUCACUUUUUACUGUGUUAGAGUCCAUCCAGACUGUUCUAUCCAAAAAAGUUUCUUUUUCCCCCACAGGCAAUCAGGAAAUGAUUCCUUUCCCGACUGCUUCUGUCUAGUGCCUGGGAAUCUUGAGUCAAUCCCUCAGUAAGUCAGUGACUAGGGAAAUCCCUCUCUGAGCCUCCCAGUUCAUGUUGCUUAGGGAACCUGAUAUUUUCGUGAAACCUGCCUACACAUGGGCAGCCCAACAGCAGAACAAAUGGUGGUGACCAAAGUGAACAAAGAAGUAUAGUUGUGCCAGCUUCGUAGUUGCCCAUGUGGACAAGUCAGCAGGAUCAGGACACGAGGAAGAGUAAAUGUGAGACAGUCAAUGUGACUUCUGCGAUAAACAGAUUUUUAAACCCCGAAAUUUUGCAAAAUUUUGGUGAAACCUGAACUUUCUUCGUUGCAUAUACUGGCACUAUCUGUACCAUCAUACAACUGUCUCACAUUAAAGCUAUUUUUCUUGGGCACUGAUGAGUAAGGUUGGUAUAAGUUCCUCAGAUCAACAAAAACCCAUUUUCCUGUAAGUCUUACAUUUAGUAUUUAAGGAACUAAAACUUAAAUACAUUUUGUGAAAUGGUUGACACUUCACUGAUAAUGAUUUAUUGCUUGGAUUAAUAAAUUUUCCAAAAGUUGUCUUAUGUAGAAUAUGGUUUGCAACCAGCAGAACCAUUAAUCUAUACUGCAAUGAUAUGCACUAUGUAUAAUUGUUUAAAAGCCUCUACUUAAUGAUGUAAAAUGCUCUAUUUAAUUACACAUUUGGGUAAACUGUAUACUAACAUCUGAUGGCAUUUUUCCACUGUUUGUUGCUUUUUUCAAA
This 4601-nucleotide long non-coding RNA is filed under the name Homo sapiens (human). RNAcentral describes it as "HLA complex group 18". Lineage: Eukaryota; Metazoa; Chordata; Mammalia; Primates; Hominidae. The record is from RNAcentral.